AUCCAGCUGACGAGUCCCAAAUAGGACGAAACACGCGUCCUGGAU
This is a non-coding RNA of Schistosoma haematobium, 45 nucleotides long. Lineage: Eukaryota; Metazoa; Platyhelminthes; Trematoda; Strigeidida; Schistosomatidae. The record is from Rfam.